This 269-nucleotide ribosomal RNA is filed under the name uncultured bacterium. Its description in RNAcentral is "partial 16S ribosomal RNA". It matches the Rfam family "Bacterial small subunit ribosomal RNA", at positions 793 to 1055 of the family's 1533-position model. The record is from RNAcentral.
GUCCACGCAGUAAACGAUGUUCACUAGGUGUCGGUCUCGUUAAAUCGGGGUCGGUGCCGCAGCUAACGCAUUAAGUGAACCACCUGGGGAGUACAGUCGCAAGGCUGAAACUCAAAGGAAUUGACGGGGACCCCGCACAAACGGUGGAGCAUGUGGUUUAAUACGACGAUACGCGUGGAACCUUACCCAGACUUGACAUGUACGGGAAGACCUUAUGAAAGUAGGGUCGUCUCUCAAGGACUCGUACACAGGUGUUGCAUGGCUGUCGU